Pelobates cultripes (western spadefoot toad) is the source of this 379-nucleotide non-coding RNA. NCBI's taxonomy places the organism in Eukaryota, Metazoa, Chordata, Amphibia, Anura, Pelobatidae. The record is from the annotation of a GenBank genome assembly.
UAGGAAUGUACAGAUUAGAUGCUGCGUAUCAGAUUGUGUGUAGGAAUGGACAGAUUAGAUGCUGCGUAUCAGAUUGUGUGUAGGAAUGCACAGAUUAGAUGCUGCGUAUCAGAUUGUGUGUAGGAAUGGAAAGAUUAGAUGCUGUGCAUCGGAGAUUGUGUGGACAGAUUAGAUGCUGUGCAUCGGAAUGGACAGAGUAGAUGCUGUGUAUCAGAUUGUGUGUAGGAAUGGACAGACUAGAUGCUGCGUAUCAGAUUGUGUGUAGGAAUGGACAGACUAGGUCCUGGGUAUCAGGAUUGUGUGUAGGAAUGGACAGAUUAGAUGCUGCGUAUCAGAUUGUGUGUAGGAAUGGAUAGACUAGAUGCUGCGUAUCAGAGAU